AACGAACGCUGGCGGCAGGCCUCAAACAUGCAAGUCUAGGGGGUGUAGCAAUACAUCACCGGCGGACGGGUGCGUAACACGUGGGAAUAUACCUUUUGGUUCGGAACAACGCAGGGAAACUUGCGCUAAUACCGAAUGUGCCCUUACGGGGAAAGAUUUAUCGCCAAAGGAUUAGCCCGCGUAGGAUUAGCUAGUUGGUGAGGUAAUGGCUCACCAAGGCUCCGAUCCUUAGCUGUUCUGAGAGGAAGAUCAGCCACACUGGGACUGAGACACGGCCCAGACUCCUACGGGAGGCAGCAGUUGGGAAUCUUGGACAAUGGGGGAAACCCUGAUCCAGCCAUGCCGCGUGAGUGAUGAAGGCCUUCGGGUUGUAAAACUCUUUCGA
RNAcentral lists this ribosomal RNA (385 nucleotides) under uncultured bacterium. Its description in RNAcentral is "bacterial SSU rRNA". It matches the Rfam family "Bacterial small subunit ribosomal RNA", at positions 29 to 439 of the family's 1533-position model. The record is from RNAcentral.